RNAcentral lists this ribosomal RNA (548 nucleotides) under uncultured Glomeromycotina. Its description in RNAcentral is "SSU rRNA". It matches the Rfam family "Eukaryotic small subunit ribosomal RNA", at positions 548 to 1098 of the family's 1831-position model. Lineage: Eukaryota; Fungi; Glomeromycota. The record is from RNAcentral.
UUGGAGGGCAAGUCUGGUGCCAGCAGCCGCGGUAAUUCCAGCUCCAAUAGCGUAUAUUAAGGUUGUUGCAGUUAAAAAGCUCGUAGUUGAAUUUCGAGAUCAAUUUGUCGGUCGUGCCUCGGUACGUACUGGCAUUAUUGAUUUCUCCCUUCUGAAGAACCGCGAUGUCAUUAAUUUGGUGUCGUGGGGAAUCAGGACUGUUACUUUGAAAAAAUUAGAGUGUUUAAAGCAGGCGCACGCUUGAAUACAUUAGCAUGGAAUAAUGAAAUAGGACGUUUGAUUCUAUUUUGUUGGUUUCUAGGAUCGACGUAAUGAUUAAUAGGGAUAGUUGGGGGCAUUAGUAUUCAAUUGUCAGAGGUGAAAUUCUUGGAUUUAUUGAAGACUAACUACUGCGAAAGCAUUUGCCAAGGAUGUUUUCAUUAAUCAAGAACGAAAGUUAGGGGAUUGAAGACGAUCAGAUACCGUCGUAGUCUUAACCAUAAACUAUGCCGACUAGGGAUCGGAUGAUGUUAAUUUUUUAAUGACUCAUUCGGCGCCUUACGGGAAAC